AGCUAAUAAGCUUUAAUAAGCAUAUGUUUUGAAAACAUAAAAUAAAAGUUAAACCUUUUAUUAGCUU
RNAcentral lists this transfer RNA (67 nucleotides) under Phyllomimus sp. YH-2018. RNAcentral's name for it is "tRNA-Ser". It matches the Rfam family "tRNA". Rfam says of the family: Transfer RNA (tRNA) molecules are approximately 80 nucleotides in length. The record is from RNAcentral. Lineage: Eukaryota; Metazoa; Arthropoda; Insecta; Orthoptera; Tettigoniidae.